Molecule: ribosomal RNA, 257 nt
Filed under: uncultured bacterium
Lineage: Bacteria
Description: partial 16S ribosomal RNA
Rfam family: Bacterial small subunit ribosomal RNA
Source: RNAcentral
UGGCGGACGGGUGAGUAAUGUCUGGGAAACUGCCUGAUGGAGGGGGAUAACUACUGGAAACGGUAGCUAAUACCGCAUAACGUCGAAAGACCAAAGAGGGGGACCUUCGGGCCUCUUGCCAUCGGAUGUGCCCAGAUGGGAUUAGCUAGUAGGUGGGGUAACGGCUCACCUAGGCGACGAUCCCUAGCUGGUCUGAGAGGAUGACCAGCCACACUGGAACUGAGACGCGGUCCAGACUCCUACGGGAGGGCAGCAUG